This 579-nucleotide ribosomal RNA is filed under the name uncultured bacterium. RNAcentral describes it as "bacterial SSU rRNA". It matches the Rfam family "Bacterial small subunit ribosomal RNA", at positions 9 to 602 of the family's 1533-position model. The record is from RNAcentral.
GAGUUUGAUCCUGGCUCAGAGUGAACGCUGGCGGCAGGCCUAACACAUGCAAGUCGAACGGCAGCACAGAGGAGCUUGCUCCUUGGGUGGCGAGUGGCGGACGGGUGAGGAAUACGUCGGAAUCUGCCUAUUUGUGGGGGAUAACGUAGGGAAAUUUACGCUAAUACCGCAUACGACCUACGGGUGAAAGUGGGGGACCGCAAGGCCUCACGCAGAUAGAUGAGCCGACGUCGGAUUAGCUAGUUGGCGGGGUAAAGGCCCACCAAGGCGACGAUCCGUAGCUGGUCUGAGAGGAUGAUCAGCCACACUGGAACUGAGACACGGCCCAGACUCCUACGGGAGGCAGCAGUGGGGAAUCUUAGACAAUGGGGGAGACCCUGAUCUAGCCAUGCCGCGUGAGCGAUGAAGGCCUUAGGGUUGUAAAGCUCUUUCGCUGGGGAAGAUAAUGACGGUACCCAGUAAAGAAGCCCCGGCUAACUCCGUGCCAGCAGCCGCGGUAAUACGGAGGGGGCUAGCGUUGUUCGGAAUUACUGGGCGUAAAGCGCGCGUAGGCGGACUGGAAAGUUGGGGGUGAAAUCC